UACGGGGGGGGCAAGCGUUGUUCGGAAUUACUGGGCGUAAAGGGCUCGUAGGCGGCCAACUAAGUCAGACGUGAAAUCCCUCGGCUUAACCGGGGAACUGCGUCUGAUACUGGAUGGCUUGAGGUUGGGAGAGGGAUGCGGAAUUCCUGGUGUAGCGGUGAAAUGCGCAGAUAUCAGGAGGAACACCGGUGGCGAAGGCGGGACUCUGGGCCGAUACUGACGCUGAGGAGCGAAAGCGUGGGGAGCGAACAGG
This 253-nucleotide ribosomal RNA is filed under the name uncultured bacterium. RNAcentral's name for it is "partial 16S ribosomal RNA". It matches the Rfam family "Bacterial small subunit ribosomal RNA", at positions 524 to 776 of the family's 1533-position model. The record is from RNAcentral.